UCCCCGUUACCGGGGCAGUCUGACUAGAAAAAUUCAACUAGCCACAAGGGUUGCGCUCGUUGAUGGACUUAACCAAACAUCUCACGACACGAGCUGACGACGGCCAUGCAAGAUCUGUCACCGAGUUCAAUAAAGCACUCUCGUCUUUCGACGAAAUUCUCGGGAUGUCAAGCCCUGGUAAGGUUCUUCGUUUAUCAUCGAAUUAAAGAACACGCUCCACCGCUUGUGCGGGUCCCCGUCAAUUCCUUUAUGUUUUAGCCUUGCGGCCGUACUCCACAGGCGGGAUGCUUAACGCGUUAGCUUCGCUACGGAGGGGGUCGAUACCCCCCACAGCUAGCAUCCAUCGUUUACGGCGUGGACUAC
This 363-nucleotide unclassified non-coding RNA is filed under the name uncultured bacterium. Its description in RNAcentral is "contains 16S-23S intergenic spacer region". The record is from RNAcentral.